Molecule: non-coding RNA, 23 nt
Filed under: Cricetulus griseus (Chinese hamster)
Lineage: Eukaryota; Metazoa; Chordata; Mammalia; Rodentia; Cricetidae
Source: RNAcentral
AUCGCGCCGCGCGCUUGCUCUGC